UUGCUUUGGCAGCACAUAUACUAAAAUUGGAAUGAUACAGAGAAUAUUAGAAUGGCUCCUGCACAAGGAUGACAUGCAAAUUUGUGAAGCAUUCUAUAUUGAA
Equus caballus (horse) is the source of this 103-nucleotide small nuclear RNA. The record is from Ensembl. Lineage: Eukaryota; Metazoa; Chordata; Mammalia; Perissodactyla; Equidae.